GCGGAGGAAAAGAAACCAACAGGGAUUGCCUCAGUAACGGCGAGUGAAGCGGCAAAAGCUCAAAUUUUAAAGCUGGCAUCUUCGGUGUCCGCGUUGUAAUUUUGUGAGGCAUCUCCGGGUAGGGCGCCGGCCUAAGUUCCUUGGAACAGGACGUCACAGAGGGUGAGAAUCCCGUGCUUGGCUGGCUGUCCCCGUCCAUGUGAGGUGUCUUCGACGAGUCGAGUUGUUUGGGAAUGCAGCUCAAAAUGGGUGGUAAAUUUCAUCUAAAGCUAAAUAUUGGUGGGAGACCGAUAGCGCACAAGUAGAGUGAUCGAAAGAUGAAAAGCACUUUGAAAAUAGAGUUAAAAAGUACGUGAAAUUGUUGAAAGGGAAGCGCUUGAGAUCAGACUUCGGUAGGGGGUGAUCAGCCGUGCUUCUGGGCGGUGCACUUGCCCCUCUCCGGGCCAGCAUCGGUUGAGGCGGCGGGAUAAAGGUCCCGGGAAUGUGGCUCCUUCGCGGGAGUGUUAUAGCCCGGGUGAAUGCCGCCAGUCUCGACCGAGGACCGCACCCGCAAGGGUUAGGAUGCUUGGCAUAAUGGUCUUCAGCGACCCGUCU
This 594-nucleotide ribosomal RNA is filed under the name Morchella importuna. RNAcentral describes it as "eukaryotic LSU rRNA". It matches the Rfam family "Eukaryotic large subunit ribosomal RNA", at positions 50 to 654 of the family's 3401-position model. The record is from RNAcentral. Lineage: Eukaryota; Fungi; Ascomycota; Pezizomycetes; Pezizales; Morchellaceae.